UUAAGUCGACCGCCUGGGGAGUACGGCCGCAAGGUUAAAACUCAAAUGAAUUGACGGGGGCCCGCACAAGCGGUGGAGCAUGUGGUUUAAUUCGAUGCAACGCGAAGAACCUUACCUGGUCUUGACAUCCACGGAAGUUUUCAGAGAUGAGAAUGUGCCUUCGGGAACCGUGAGACAGGUGCUGCAUGGCUGUCGUCAGCUCGUGUUGUGAAAUGUUGGGUUAAGUCCCGCAACGAGCGCAACCCUUAUCCUUUGUUGCCAGCGGUCCGGCCGGGAACUCAAAGGAGACUGCCAGUGAUAAACUGGAGGAAGGUGGGGAUGACGUCAAGUCAUCAUGGCCCUUACGACCAGGGCUACACACGUGCUACAAUGGCGCAUACAAAGAGAAGCGACCUCGCGAGAGCAAGCGGACCUCAUAAAGU
Molecule: ribosomal RNA, 422 nt
Filed under: Shigella flexneri
Lineage: Bacteria; Pseudomonadati; Pseudomonadota; Gammaproteobacteria; Enterobacterales; Enterobacteriaceae
Description: bacterial SSU rRNA
Rfam family: Bacterial small subunit ribosomal RNA
Source: RNAcentral